UACGUAGGUGGCAAGCGUUGUCCGGAUUUACUGGGCGUAAAGAGCGCGCAGGCGGUCGUUCAAGUCGCGUGUGAAAGCCCCCGGCUCAACUGGGGAGGGUCACGCGAUACUGAUCGACUCGAAGGCAGGAGAGGGAAGUGGAAUUCCCGGUGUAGUGGUGAAAUGCGUAGAGAUCGGGAGGAACACCUGUGGCGAAGGCGGCCCCCUGGGCCGGCCCUGACACUGAGACGCGAAGGCGUGGGGAGCGAACGGG
RNAcentral lists this ribosomal RNA (253 nucleotides) under uncultured bacterium. Its description in RNAcentral is "partial 16S ribosomal RNA". It matches the Rfam family "Bacterial small subunit ribosomal RNA", at positions 524 to 776 of the family's 1533-position model. The record is from RNAcentral.